This is a long non-coding RNA of Cyanistes caeruleus (blue tit), 316 nucleotides long. RefSeq lists it as uncharacterized. NCBI's taxonomy places the organism in Eukaryota, Metazoa, Chordata, Aves, Passeriformes, Paridae. The record is from RefSeq and is a predicted model, not a curated record.
UAGGUUUUCUUUCUUUUAAUUCUUAUAGGUAGAAGAAACAAUCAUUCCAGAAAAAGAAGAAGUUCAGUGUUAUGUUACCUAUGAGAAAUGAGUUAGUGAAAUUAGAUUGCUUGGUUUCUUUAUCCAAAAUGCAAGGAGAACAGCAAAUGAGAAGAACUUAUAGAUGGAAAAUAAGUGACAUAAUAUCAUUAAAAGGUUUAUUUUUCUGCUUCUAAAAUUUGAUUUGGCCAAAGAGGCAGACUGAAGUAUGCAAGAAGUAAAUUCCAUUUUGUUGGAACUAGUUCAGAAAUUUUAAAAAGAUAGGAAAUAUUGUAUU